GGGGGCGUACAGGUUUCGACGGGGGAUGCGGUGGCAGGAGGAGCGAGCCGGGGUUCCAUCAGCCCGUAAAACGGUGGAAAAACAAUAAUUGCCAAAGAAAACUACGCUUUAGCUGCUUAAUUGCAGUUAACCUUCUACCCGCGCUGGGCCCGUGGCCCGGGCUAGGGGGUCGACUUAACGGGCUGGCUUGACGCCCAAUUCUCGGAGGGGUUAAGCGAGAUUUAUCGAGAUAGUUCCUAGGGAGCCUGGCUGUAGGCGCCCACGGAGCGAAAACUAAAAUACAGCCUGCGCUCGGAGAAACUCCUGUGGUCGGUCUUCCGGACGGUGGGUUCGAUUCCCCCCGCCUCCACCA
Molecule: transfer-messenger RNA, 352 nt
Filed under: Bacillota bacterium
Lineage: Bacteria; Bacillati; Bacillota
Also listed under: 3 other names
Rfam family: transfer-messenger RNA
About the family: Bacterial tmRNA, also known as 10Sa RNA or SsrA, is named for its dual tRNA and mRNA-like properties. Its role is to liberate the mRNA from a stalled ribosome.
Source: RNAcentral